CCCUUAGAUGUUCUGGGCCGCACGCGCGCUACACUGAUACAUGCAACGAGUUUAUAACCUUGAUCUGACGGUCUGGGUAAUCUUCAAACUGUAUCGUGUUAGGGAUCGAUUCUUGCAAUUUUUAAUCGUAAACGAGGAAUUCCUAGUAAACGCAAGUCAUCAGCUUGCAUUGAUUACGUCCCUGCCCUUUGUACACACCGCCCGUCGACUCUACCGAUUGAAUGGUUCGGUGAAAACUUUGGACUGUGGCAUUGUCCUUCAUUGGACUUCGCCGUAGGAAAUUGUUUAAACCUAAUCAUUUAGAGGAAGAAUAAGUCGUAACA
RNAcentral lists this ribosomal RNA (323 nucleotides) under uncultured eukaryote. RNAcentral describes it as "partial 18S ribosomal RNA". It matches the Rfam family "Eukaryotic small subunit ribosomal RNA", at positions 1470 to 1796 of the family's 1831-position model. The record is from RNAcentral.